GAUGAACGCUGGCGGCGUGCCUAAUACAUGCAAGUCGAGCGAAUGGAUUAAGAGCUUGCUCUUAUGAAGUUAGCGGCGGACGGGUGAGUAACACGUGGGUAACCUGCCCAUAAGACUGGGAUAACUCCGGGAAACCGGGGCUAAUACCGGAUAACAUUUUGAACCGCAUGGUUCGAAAUUGAAAGGCGGCUUCGGCUGUCACUUAUGGAUGGACCCGCGUCGCAUUAGCUAGUUGGUGAGGUAACGGCUCACCAAGGCAACGAUGAGUAGCCGACCUGAGAGGGGGAUCGGCCCCACUGGGACUGAGACACGGCCCAGACUCCUACGGGAGGCAGCAGUAGGGAAUCUUCCGCAAUGGACGAAAGUCUGACGGAGCAACGCCGCGUGAGUGAUGAAGGCUUUCGGGUCGUAAAACUCUGUUGUUAGGGAAGAACAAGUGCUAGUUGAAUAAGCUGGCACCUUGACGGUACCUAACCAGAAAGCCACGGCUAACUACGUGCCAGCCGCCGCAGUAA
This 515-nucleotide ribosomal RNA is filed under the name uncultured bacterium. RNAcentral's name for it is "partial 16S ribosomal RNA". It matches the Rfam family "Bacterial small subunit ribosomal RNA", at positions 28 to 523 of the family's 1533-position model. The record is from RNAcentral.